GGCCAGAAGGAGAUUAAAAAGAUGCCCCUCAAGAUGGCUGUGCCUGUCAGCUGCAUGGAGCUUCGUUCAAGUAUUUUCUGAGCCUGAUGGAUUUACAGUGAUCUUCAGUGGUCUGGGGAAUAACGCUGGUGGAACCAUGCACUGGAAUGACACACGCCCGGCACAUUUCAGGAUACUAAAAGUGGUUUUAAGGGAGGCUGUGGCUGAAUGCCUCAUGGAUUCUUACAGCUUGGAUGUCCAUGGGGGACGAAGGACUGCAGCUGGCUGAGAGGGUUGAGAUCUCUGUUUACUUAGAUCUCUGCCAACUUCCUUUGGGUCUCCCUAUGGAAUGUAAGACCCCGACUCUUCCUGGUGAAGCAUCUGAUGCACGUUCCAUCCGGCGCUCAGCUGGGCUUGAGCUGACCAUACUCCCUGGAGCCUUCUCCCGAGGUGCGCGGGUGACCUUGGCACAUACAGCCAUCAUGAUGGUACUUUAAGUGGAGGCUGAAUCAUCUCCCCUUUGAGCUGCUUGGCACGUGGCUCCCUUGGUGUUCCCCUUUUACUGCCAGGACACUGAGAUUUGGAGAGAAUCCUGUUACACCUGGGAUUUAGGCACUUUCAAUCUGAAAAAAUACAUAUCCUUUCAGCACUCUGGACGGACUUGAGAACUGUCCUUACGUGACCUAAAGCUGGAGUAUUUUGAGAUUGGAGAAUUAAGGCUACAGAGAAACAAGGAGACGGGAGAGCCUUGAAAUGGACCUUCAAGAUUACAAUGUGUAGCUGACAUUGUCAGUUAAGUUGGGCAGAUCUGACUUCGCUGAUUAAGUGGAUGUAUGAGCCGAUCCUCCCCAGAAGCUGGGAUCAGCUUCCCCAUCUGAUGAGCCAGUCUUGGUGCUCUGUGUUCACCUGGUUCAUCUGAGGAGCUGCAUCUACCCUGCCCAUGCCAUAGAUCCUGCCCUGUUUGCUUCUCCUGUUGCUGCUAGUGGACAUGAGGUAACCACAGCCUAGUUCUGUGAUAAGCUCUUCACACCUGUACCCAUAUGGACUGUGGGAGAGUUUCUCUGAUAUGGACUGUGAUGCGGAAGGACAGAAUAACGGGCUCCCAGAUUCACAAGCCCCACCAAGAGGAUCACCCCAGGAACGCUUGGAGGCUGAGGAGUUCACUGAGGCUACUGCAUCUUGAGACUCAGGAUGAAGACCCAGCUUGGGGCUGUCAAAGGUUUUUUGCAUGUCUGACACCCAUGACUCCACCUGGACCUUAUGGCUCCACCCAGAAGCAAUUCAGCCCAACAGGAGGACAGCUUCAACCCAUUACGAUUUCAUCUCUGCCCCAACCACUCAGCAGCAAGCACCUGUUACCUGUCCACCCCCACCCCUUCCCCCAAACUGCCUUUGAAAAAUCCCUAACCUAUGAGCUUUGAAUAAGAUGAGUACGAACUUCAUCGCCCACGUGGCGUGGCCGGCCUCGUGUCUAUUAAAUUCUUUUUCUACU
Molecule: long non-coding RNA, 1471 nt
Organism: Homo sapiens (human)
Lineage: Eukaryota; Metazoa; Chordata; Mammalia; Primates; Hominidae
Gene: PVT1
Product: Pvt1 oncogene
Source: Ensembl